GACGAACGCUGGCGGCGUGCUUAACACAUGCAAGUCGAACGGAAAGGCCCUGCUUUUGUGGGGUGCUCGAGUGGCGAACGGGUGAGUAACACGUGAGUAACCUGCCCUUGACUUUGGGAUAACUUAAGGAAACUUGGGCUAAUACCGGAUAGGAGCUCCAGAUGCAUGGUGGGGGUUGGAAAGUUUCGGCGGUUGGGGUUGGACCCGCGGCUUAUCAGCUUGUGGGUGGGGUAGUGGAUGACCAAGGCUUGGAUGGGUAGCCGGCCUUUGAAGGUGACCAGCGACAUUAGGACUGCGAUACGGCCCAGAGUCGUACGGGGGGCAGCAGGGGAGAACAUGACACAGUGGGGGGAAGCCUGAGGUAGCGACGUCGGGUGCGGGAUGACGGCCUGCGGGGUGUAAACCGCUUUCGCCUGAGACGAAGCGUGAGUGACGGUAACGGGUGAAGAAGCACCGGCUAACUACGUG
RNAcentral lists this ribosomal RNA (468 nucleotides) under uncultured bacterium. RNAcentral describes it as "partial 16S ribosomal RNA". It matches the Rfam family "Bacterial small subunit ribosomal RNA", at positions 28 to 507 of the family's 1533-position model. The record is from RNAcentral.